AACGAACGCUGGCGGCAUGCCUAACACAUGCAAGUCGAACGAGACCUUCGGGUCUAGUGGCGCACGGGUGCGUAACACGUGGGAAUUUGCCUCGGGGUAUGGAAUAACUCAGGGAAACUUGAGCUAAUACCAUAUAAUGUCUUCGGACCAAAGAUUUAUCGCCCUGAGAUAAGCCCGCGUAGGAUUAGCUAGUUGUGGGUAAAGGCUCACCAAGGCGACGAUCCUUAGCUGGUCUGAGAGGAUGAUCAGCCACACUGGGACUGAGACACGGCCCCAGACUCCUACGGGAGGCAGCAGUGGGGAAUAUUGGGACAAUGGGCGAAAGCCUGAUCCAGCAAUGCCGCGUGAGUGAUGAAGGCU
RNAcentral lists this ribosomal RNA (360 nucleotides) under uncultured bacterium. RNAcentral describes it as "bacterial SSU rRNA". It matches the Rfam family "Bacterial small subunit ribosomal RNA", at positions 29 to 416 of the family's 1533-position model. The record is from RNAcentral.